RNAcentral lists this transfer RNA (67 nucleotides) under Ochotona hyperborea (northern pika). RNAcentral's name for it is "tRNA-Ile". It matches the Rfam family "tRNA". From Rfam's summary of the family: Transfer RNA (tRNA) molecules are approximately 80 nucleotides in length. Their secondary structure includes four short double-helical elements and three loops (D, anti-codon, and T loops). Further hydrogen bonds mediate the characteristic L-shaped molecular structure. tRNAs have two regions of fundamental functional importance: the anti-codon, which is responsible for specific mRNA codon recognition, and the 3' end, to which the tRNAs corresponding amino acid is attached (by aminoacyl-tRNA synthetases). tRNAs cope with the degeneracy of the genetic code in two manners: having more than one tRNA (with a specific anti-codon) for a particular amino acid; and 'wobble' base-pairing, i.e. permitting non-standard base-pairing at the 3rd anti-codon position. The record is from RNAcentral. RNAcentral also lists the same sequence under 2 other names. Lineage: Eukaryota; Metazoa; Chordata; Mammalia; Lagomorpha; Ochotonidae.
GAAACAUGUCUGAUAAAAGAAUUACUUUGAUAGAGUAAAUAAUAGGGGUCAAAAUCCCCUUGUUUCU